GACGAACGCUGGCGGCGUGCUUAACACAUGCAAGUCGAACGAAGAGCGAUGGAAGCUUGCUUCUAUCAAUCUUAGUGGCGAACGGGUGAGUAACGCGUAAUCAACCUGCCCUUCAGAGGGGGACAACAGUUGGAAACGACUGCUAAUACCGCAUACGAUCCAAUCUCGGCAUCGGGACUGGAUGAAAGGUGGCCUCUAUUUAUAAGCUAUCACUGAAGGAGGGGAUUGCGUCUGAUUAGCUAGUUGGAGGGGUAACGGCCCACCAAGGCGAUGAUCAGUAGCCGGUCUGAGAGGAUGAACGGCCACAUUGGGACUGAGACACGGCCCAGACUCCUACGGGAGGCAGCAGUGGGGAAUCUUCCGCAAUGGACGAAAGUCUGACGGAGCAACGCCGCGUGAGUGAGGACGGCCUUCGGGUUGUAAAGCUCUGUUAAUCGGGACGAAUGGUUCUUGUGCGAAUAGUGCGAGGAUUUGACGGUACCGGAAUAGAAAGCCACGGCUAACUACGUG
RNAcentral lists this ribosomal RNA (510 nucleotides) under uncultured bacterium. Its description in RNAcentral is "partial 16S ribosomal RNA". It matches the Rfam family "Bacterial small subunit ribosomal RNA", at positions 28 to 507 of the family's 1533-position model. The record is from RNAcentral.